Rattus norvegicus (Norway rat) is the source of this 1487-nucleotide long non-coding RNA. RefSeq lists it as uncharacterized. The record is from RefSeq and is a predicted model, not a curated record. Lineage: Eukaryota; Metazoa; Chordata; Mammalia; Rodentia; Muridae.
AGCUGUGGCUCCAGCUGCAUGCCACUGCCUUUGGUUUGUACACAUGUGCUGGGUUUCAAACUCAGGUCCUCAUGUUUGUACUCAAGGCACUGUCCUGCUGUUAUCAUCUCCCUUGCCUCUGAUUCAUUUUAUUUAAAGAAGUAAGUCUCAUGAACAAAAUCAAAUAUAUCAGAUUCAGGGGAGUCAUACACAGGCAAAAAAAAAUCCAAUAGAAUAAAAGAUUGGUAUUCUUUUCCUUUAUUUCAUACAUAUUUCUGAAGGAUACUAUGAUUCAGGAAAUGCACAUGAACUAUCAUGACACUAAAUUCAUAUAUGUAUAUUUCAGACAUUAGUAAAAACUGUAAAAUUCCUAUCUGGUCAGUUUGACUGACUUAGAUUUACUUAGAGUUUGUUGUAUUGGAGUGAUGAAGUUUAUCGCUUUUGUCCCUUGUUGGUCAACUUAACUACUUAACCACCAACAAUUACCCAAUUAAAAAAGUCAAACCAAUUGCAGUGGUCUUCAUUCUAAUUCAUUGAGGUCACAUAACUAGAAAUUAAGAAAUUUAUGCAUGUGUGUGUGCAUAUAUGUGUGUGUACACCAGUAUGGGAGUGCAUGAGUAUAUGUGUAUGUAUACAUGUGGGGUCAAUGGGUUGACAUGAGGUUUUGGUUUUCAAGAGUCAUUUUGAUGAUGAUAGUGAUUUCUGAGACAGAGUCUCUUACAGGGAUCCAGUGGCCAUUGUUUGAAGCUGUGAAAGUGAAGCUUGUAUUGUGUUGGAGACAUCAAGACGUUGGAGAUAACAGAGCAAUGACAGGAUAUCUGUCAAUACUAGCUGCAAACAGGAAGCAGCUCAAGAAAGAGAAAGUUUGGAGUGUUUAAUGUGACCACAUGGCUGAAAUUCAAGCUCAUUGUUUGAUGCUUAGAAAUACUCCAGGAAUCCACUCCAUCUCCACCCUCCCAUCUGCUCCAAAGAACAGAACAUUCUUCAGUCCUGAGGACCUGAGGAUUCUGACUCCUGACUCCAUCAAAACAAAAAGAUGAUACCGACAAAAGUUCUCUGACAUGUGGGAUUUGGGUUUGAAAGGUAGAAGAGGAGGUAUACUUUUAGGAUUGCAAGUGGAAAAACUGCAAGAGAAAUCUCUCAGAGAAAUACAGAACCAUUGUUCAGCUAACGAUGCCAAGGAGUACAGAAGACAACUUCAUGAAUAUUUCCCAGAAAUGCCCAAGUUAAUAUGUUCUUGUGUGCUGGAGGCUCUAACCACUAGUGAGUCAUCAUAGGAAGAGUGGCCACACAAAUUCAGACCACACAAGACUUCAACCUGGGCCCUGAGUAGGUCAAAGACUCACCACACAUUUAAAUUUCCUCAAGAAUAAAUUGAUUGUUGAACUGUACUUUAGAAUUGUAAUUGGAAAAUUGAUAAAGCUCACUUCAUAGUAUUUUCCAUCAUGUGCUUCAGCUAGUAGAAAUGUAGAAAUGCACAAUUAAAUGAUGGCUAGCAAAUACUUGCA